RNAcentral lists this ribosomal RNA (465 nucleotides) under Vreelandella stevensii. RNAcentral's name for it is "partial 16S ribosomal RNA". It matches the Rfam family "Bacterial small subunit ribosomal RNA", at positions 338 to 795 of the family's 1533-position model. The record is from RNAcentral. Lineage: Bacteria; Pseudomonadati; Pseudomonadota; Gammaproteobacteria; Oceanospirillales; Halomonadaceae.
CCUACGGGCGGCAGCAGUGGGGAAUAUUGGACAAUGGGGGGAACCCUGAUCCAGCCAUGCCGCGUGUGUGAAGAAGGCCCUCGGGUUGUAAAGCACUUUCAGUGAGGAAGAACGCCUGGUGGUUAAUACCCAUCAGGAAAGACAUCACUCACAGAAGAAGCACCGGCUAACUCCGUGCCAGCAGCCGCGGUAAUACGGAGGGUGUGAGCGUUAAUCGGAAUUACUGGGCGUAAAGCGCGCGUAGGUGGCUUGAUAAGCCGGUUGUGAAAGCCCCGGGCUCAACCUGGGAACGGCAUCCGGAACUGUCAAGCUAGAGUGCAGGAGAGGAAGGUAGAAUUCCCGGUGUAGCGGUGAAAUGCGUAGAGAUCGGGAGGAAUACCAGUGGCGAAGGCGGCCUUCUGGACUGACACUGACACUGAGGUGCGAAAGCGUGGGUAGCAAACAGGAUUAGAUACCCCUGUAGUC